Molecule: transfer RNA, 72 nt
Filed under: Camelus ferus (Wild Bactrian camel)
Lineage: Eukaryota; Metazoa; Chordata; Mammalia; Artiodactyla; Camelidae
Rfam family: tRNA
About the family: Transfer RNA (tRNA) molecules are approximately 80 nucleotides in length.
Source: Rfam by way of RNAcentral
GAGGGUAUAGCUCAGUGGUAGAGCAUGUGCGUAACAUGCACAAGGUCCGGGAUUCAAUCCCCAAUACUUCCA